UACGUAGGGUGCGAGCGUUAAUCGGAAUUACUGGGCGUAAAGCGUGCGCAGGCGGCUUGCCAAGUCAGAUGUGAAAGCCCCGGGCUCAACCCGGGAACUGCGUUUGAAACUGGCAGGCUAGAGUUUGGCAGAGGGGGGUGGAAUUCCACGUGUAGCAGUGAAAUGCGUAGAGAUGUGGAGGAACACCGAUGGCGAAGGCAAUCCCCUGGACCUGUACUGACGCUCAGGCACGAAAGCGUGGGGAGCAAACAGG
RNAcentral lists this ribosomal RNA (253 nucleotides) under uncultured bacterium. RNAcentral describes it as "partial 16S ribosomal RNA". It matches the Rfam family "Bacterial small subunit ribosomal RNA", at positions 524 to 776 of the family's 1533-position model. The record is from RNAcentral.